GCAGGUACCGUCAUCACAUGGCAUGUUGUACCAUGCUUAUUCUUCCCUGCUUAAUGGACUUUACAACCCAAAGGCCUUCAUCGUCCACGCGGCGUCGCUGCGUCAGGCUUUCGCCCAUUGCGCAAGAUUCUUA
Molecule: ribosomal RNA, 133 nt
Filed under: uncultured bacterium
Lineage: Bacteria
Description: partial 16S ribosomal RNA
Source: RNAcentral